GAUGAACGCUGGCGGCGUGCCUAAUACAUGCAAGUCGAGCGAACAGAUGAGGAGCUUGCUCCUCUGACGUUAGCGGCGGACGGGUGAGUAACACGUGGAUAACCUACCUAUAAGACUGGGAUAACUUCGGGAAACCGGAGCUAAUACCGGAUAAUAUAUUGAACCGCAUGGUUCAAUAGUGAAAGACGGUUUUGCUGUCACUUAUAGAUGGAUCCGCGCCGCAUUAGCUAGUUGGUAAGGUAACGGCUUACCAAGGCAACGAUGCGCAGCCGACCUGAGAGGGUGAUCGGCCACACUGGAACUGAGACACGGUCCAGACUCCUACGGGAGGCAGCAGUAGGGAAUCUUCCGCAAAGGGCGAAAGCCUGACGGAGCAACGCCGCGUGAGUGAUGAAGGUCUUCGGAUCGUAAAACUCUGUUAUUAGGGAAGAACAAAUGUGUAAGUAACUAUGCACGUCUUGACGGUACCUAAUCAGAAAGCCACGGCUAACUACGUG
RNAcentral lists this ribosomal RNA (497 nucleotides) under uncultured bacterium. RNAcentral's name for it is "partial 16S ribosomal RNA". It matches the Rfam family "Bacterial small subunit ribosomal RNA", at positions 28 to 507 of the family's 1533-position model. The record is from RNAcentral.